RNAcentral lists this ribosomal RNA (497 nucleotides) under uncultured bacterium. RNAcentral describes it as "partial 16S ribosomal RNA". It matches the Rfam family "Bacterial small subunit ribosomal RNA", at positions 28 to 507 of the family's 1533-position model. The record is from RNAcentral.
GAUGAACGCUGGCGGCGUGCCUAAUACAUGCAAGUCGAGCGAACGGACGAGAAGCUUGCUUCUCUGAUGUUAGCGGCGGACGGGUGAGUAACACGUGGAUAACCUACCUAUAAGACUGGGAUAGCUUCGGGAAACCGGAGCUAAUACCGGAUGAUAUUUUGAACCGCAUGGUUCAAAAGUGAAAGACGGUCUUGCUGUCACUUAUAGAUGGAUCCGCGCUGCAUUAGCUAGUUGGUAAGGUAACGGCUUACCAAGGCAACGAUGCAUAGCCGACCUGAGAGGGUGAUCGGCCACACUGGAACUGAGACACGGUCCAGACUCCUACGGGAGGCAGCAGUAGGGAAUCUUCCGCAAUGGGCGAAAGCCUGACGGAGCAACGCCGCGUGAGUGAUGAAGGUCUUCGGAUCGUAAAACUCUGUUAUUAGGGAAGAACAUAUGUGUAAGUAACUGUGCACAUCUUGACGGUAUCUAAUCAGAAAGCCACGGCUAACUACGUG